This 253-nucleotide ribosomal RNA is filed under the name uncultured bacterium. Its description in RNAcentral is "partial 16S ribosomal RNA". It matches the Rfam family "Bacterial small subunit ribosomal RNA", at positions 524 to 776 of the family's 1533-position model. The record is from RNAcentral.
UACGAAGGGGGCUAGCGUUGCUCGGAAUCACUGGGCGUAAAGCGCACGUAGGCGGAUUGUUAAGUCAGGGGUGAAAUCCUGGAGCUCAACUCCAGAACUGCCUUUGAUACUGGCGAUCUCGAGUCCGGGAGAGGUGAGUGGAACUGCGAGUGUAGAGGUGAAAUUCGUAGAUAUUCGCAAGAACACCAGUGGCGAAGGCGGCGCUCUGGACCGAGACUGACGCUGAGGCGCGAAGGCGUGGGGAGCAAACAGG